This 107-nucleotide small nucleolar RNA is filed under the name Arabidopsis thaliana (thale cress). RNAcentral's name for it is "Plant small nucleolar RNA R71". It matches the Rfam family "Plant small nucleolar RNA R71". Rfam says of the family: R71 is a member of the C/D box family of snoRNAs containing the C (UGAUGA) and D (CUGA) box motifs. Multiple nearly identical copies of this snoRNA have been identified in Arabidopsis, and it is thought to function as a 2'-O-ribose methylation guide for 18S ribosomal RNA. The record is from Rfam by way of RNAcentral. Lineage: Eukaryota; Viridiplantae; Streptophyta; Magnoliopsida; Brassicales; Brassicaceae.
AAUCCGUGAUGAGGGCAUUUGGUUUGAUAACCCUUAAAGCGUUCCCAAGCUUCACAGAAGGUUUCAUUUUGCUUCUGAGUGAAUCCGGAUAUAUCAUUCUGGAGUCU